UCUGAUUUAUUAGCAUUUGAUCCCCUAGUUUCCUGCCAUUGAUCAAGCCUAAUACUUGGCUCAGCUGAUGAGUUUUAUAUGAAAACUGAUAUUUCAGGAAGACGGAAGGUUGAACCCAUUUUUAAUAUUUUUCCCCUUCAUCUCUUUCAGAGUUUGACGUACACAGGAGACAACUAGCAAAGCCCGAAACUAUAUUCUUUCUCUCCACGUCACCCUGGUAUAAAACUUUUUGGAAGUCAAGCACGUAUUUAUCAAUAGAAGAGAUGUUUGUCCAGUGUCACUCACAUCCUGUCAACUGUAUAUACAUUUACACCCUCUCGCCAAAACAUGCCUUCACCCCGCUGCUGACCGGCUGUCCACCGUUCAAUCUCCAGUGAAGUCACGGAGGCGGAUCUUUCCCAGAAGCCUCCGGCCAGCUUCCCCUCAGGUCCCAUUCGUCAGGAUUGGGUCACACAGGAGCAGCCCAUUUUGAACUACAGUGAAGCAAGAAACAGCAGAGGGCUGCCCGUGGAGAGCCACCAGGAGCCUGUCCUGCUCUGGGAGUAAAGGAUGUAUGUUUCCGAUGUGAGGAUGAAGAUGAUGCUGUUAUUGUACCCACUGAUAGAUGAAGAGGCUUAGGGAGGCCAGUUAACUUACACCCAUGGGCACACGGCAAGGCAGUGAUGGAGCAGGAAUUAGGGGGCCUGCACCCCUCACCACCACUCCCCGAGGCCUUGAUUUG
This is a long non-coding RNA of Myotis brandtii (Brandt's bat), 721 nucleotides long. RefSeq lists it as uncharacterized. The record is from RefSeq and is a predicted model, not a curated record. NCBI's taxonomy places the organism in Eukaryota, Metazoa, Chordata, Mammalia, Chiroptera, Vespertilionidae. The transcript has 3 exons.